This 207-nucleotide ribosomal RNA is filed under the name uncultured bacterium. RNAcentral's name for it is "partial 16S ribosomal RNA". It matches the Rfam family "Bacterial small subunit ribosomal RNA", at positions 568 to 774 of the family's 1533-position model. The record is from RNAcentral.
UGCGUAGGUGGUUUUUUAAGUUAUCUGUGAAAUUCCUGGGCUCAACCUGGGAAGGCCAGAUAAGACUGGGAGACUUGAGUAUAGGAGAGGGCAGUGGAAUUUCCGGUGUAGCGGUGAAAUGCGUAGAGAUCGGAAGGAACACCAGUGGCGAAGGCGACUGCCUGGCCUGAUACUGACACUGAGGCACGAAAGCGUGGGUAGCAAACA